RNAcentral lists this ribosomal RNA (429 nucleotides) under Chloroflexota bacterium. RNAcentral describes it as "Chloroflexi bacterium partial 16S ribosomal RNA". It matches the Rfam family "Bacterial small subunit ribosomal RNA", at positions 355 to 776 of the family's 1533-position model. The record is from RNAcentral. Lineage: Bacteria; Bacillati; Chloroflexota.
UAGGGAAUCUUCGGCAAUGGACGAAAGUCUGACCGAGCAACGCCGCGUGAGUGAAGAAGGUUUUCGGAUCGUAAAACUCUGUUGUUAGAGAAGAACAAGGACGUUAGUAACUGAACGUCCCCUGACGGUAUCUAACCAGAAAGCCACGGCUAACUACGUGCCAGCAGCCGCGGUAAUACGUAGGUGGCAAGCGUUGUCCGGAUUUAUUGGGCGUAAAGCGAGCGCAGGCGGUUUCUUAAGUCUGAUGUGAAAGCCCCCGGCUCAACCGGGGAGGGUCAUUGGAAACUGGGAGACUUGAGUGCAGAAGAGGAGAGUGGAAUUCCAUGUGUAGCGGUGAAAUGCGUAGAUAUAUGGAGGAACACCAGUGGCGAAGGCGGCCCCCUGGACGAAGACUGACGCUCAGGUGCGAAAGCGUGGGGAGCAAACAGG